CUUGAUGGUGGUUGUGCGCAGGGCGCCUUCGGGCGCGCCGGCUUUGCUAGCUUCCCCGGUCUGCUAACCUGCGUACAGCUGCCUCCCUC
This 89-nucleotide non-coding RNA is filed under the name Pseudomonas mandelii. RNAcentral also lists the same sequence under 2 other names. The record is from RNAcentral. Lineage: Bacteria; Pseudomonadati; Pseudomonadota; Gammaproteobacteria; Pseudomonadales; Pseudomonadaceae.